Molecule: long non-coding RNA, 214 nt
Filed under: Zonotrichia albicollis (white-throated sparrow)
Lineage: Eukaryota; Metazoa; Chordata; Aves; Passeriformes; Passerellidae
Description: lncRNA (ENSZALG00000001848.1)
Source: RNAcentral
AUGGAGAACCACCUGGGGAAAUCACCAGAGCCCUGGGAAACACCACUGCCUUUGGGGAUCAACGGGGGUUUAGGAAAUUCUGCCUCCCCUCGGGGCUUGGGGCCAAAAGGCUCUGAAAUCCUGGCUCAGUUUGGGGCCAAAUGCUCUGAAAUCCUGGCUCAGUUUGGGGCCAAAAGGCUCUGAAAUCCUGGCUCAGUUUGGGGCCAAAAGGCUC